CGCCUUGCCAGCCCGCUCAGAAACUCAAAGGAAGUUGACGGGGGCCCGGCACAAGCGGUGGAGUAUGUGGUUUAAUUCGAUGCAACGCGAAGAACCUUACCUGGUCUUGACAUCCCGGAGACCCUUAGGAAACUAGGGGGUGCUUCCAUCUGGAAGAAUCUGGAGACAGGUGCUGCAUGGCUGUCGUCAGCUCGUGUCGUGAGAUGUUGGGUUAAGUCCCGCAACGAGCGCAACCCUUGCCUUUAGUUGCCAGCAGUUCGGCUGGGCACUCUAAAGGGACUGCCGGUGUUAAACCGGAGGAAGGUGGGGAUGACGUCAAGUCCUCAUGGCCUUUAUGACCAGGGCUACACACGUACUACAAUGGCCGAUACAAAGGGCAGCGACACUGCGAGGUGAAGCCAAUCCCGUAAAAUCGGUCUCAGUCCGGAUUGGAGUCUGCAACUCGACUCCAUGAAGUUGGAAUCGCUAGUAAUCGUGGAUCAGCAUGCCACGGUGAAUACGUUCCCGGGCCUU
RNAcentral lists this ribosomal RNA (513 nucleotides) under uncultured Desulfobulbus sp. RNAcentral's name for it is "bacterial SSU rRNA". It matches the Rfam family "Bacterial small subunit ribosomal RNA", at positions 903 to 1382 of the family's 1533-position model. The record is from RNAcentral. Lineage: Bacteria; Pseudomonadati; Thermodesulfobacteriota; Desulfobulbia; Desulfobulbales; Desulfobulbaceae.